AUCGAUAUUCAGUAUUUGGGUCAAUAUUCGGACAUUAUCCAGUUCCGACAAAUGGCUUCUAGGCACGGGCAGGCCCUUGACCACCUAAAGCAGAAUAUGAUCUUGUUUGAUUUGCUUUAAUAUUUGUAACAACUUUCUACUCAUUCAAUCCUUGGAGCUAAGAGACCGCUGAUUUAUGGAUAUGUUUAGAGUCAGUGCUUGCGACAGAUUGAAGUAUACAGUGCUUUCUUGCUGAGCUGUUGAUGAAUCAGUCAACUUAUUGCAUAUGCUUUGCUUCCUAUCAUGAUUCACAAAUUUUGUAACUGAAUUGAUUUUCUCCUGCCAUCAUUUUCACUCCCCGCUCUUCAUUCUUCACUGUGCACCUUUCCAGCCUCAAAUCAAAUAUUUGGGGGUACAAUUGAUGUCAUUCCUCUGUACGGAGUACGGAAGCUCCUAUAAAAAGGUUUGACCCACAGACAUCUCGUUACUAGUGGAAAGGAACUUUUGCUUGUGGCAUUGGGCCAUGUUUAGAGAGCUAGUGAGCAAGCCACAGACAUCGAUCACCCCUAAAGCUAGCCUUCUUAAUUAAGAGAUGGAUUGGCAAUAUGGGUUCCUUGAUGCUAGUAAUCUGUAUAAAUAUUUCAGUUCAAAUGCCUAGUGUGAGUCAAAGUUUUUUACAGCACCAUCUGUAAAGAUAGUUAUGUCAUGUUUGGGCC
This 695-nucleotide small RNA is filed under the name Histoplasma ohiense. Its description in RNAcentral is "hypothetical lncRNA". Lineage: Eukaryota; Fungi; Ascomycota; Eurotiomycetes; Onygenales; Ajellomycetaceae. The record is from RNAcentral.